GUGGUGAACGUUACUGGGAUUGCAGUUGGCACUGGCUUAGCCUCAGCUUAUGACACCCUCAUGUCUCAGUCCUUUGGAGUCAAGAACCUCAAGCGCGUGGGGAUCAUACUUCAGAGAGGGGUCCUCAUCCUUAUGCUGUGCUGCUUUCCCUGCUGGGCCGACUUGGUCAACACCGAGCGCAUCCUCCUGCUCUUAAAACAAGACCCGAAGUCUCCAGGAUAGCCCAAAUUUAUGUGCUGAUUUUCAUUCCUGCCCUUCCUGCAGCAUUCUUGUUCCAGCUGCAGACAAGAUAUUUACAAAGUCAGGGCAUCAGCAUGCCUCAAGUUAUUACCAGGAUUGCAGCUAAUGUCAUCAACGUGGGCAUGAAUGCCCUCUUGCUGUAUGCCCUGGACUUCAGAGUGGUUGGACGAGGGAGUGCUUCCAGGAGUGGGGCUCCUACAUCCACCUGGUUAUUCCCAGUAUGUUCAUGGUGUGCACUGAGCAGUGGACCUUUGAGAUCGGAAACUUCCUUGCAGGUUUGUCAGCAGACUGAUUGAUGUGAUGGAGCUCGGCACUCAGGGCAUCAUCUGUGAGCUGGCGUCAGUGGCCUACAUGGUAA
Molecule: long non-coding RNA, 598 nt
Filed under: Homo sapiens (human)
Lineage: Eukaryota; Metazoa; Chordata; Mammalia; Primates; Hominidae
Description: non-protein coding lnc-SLC47A1-1:3
Source: RNAcentral